Long non-coding RNA from Cucurbita maxima (winter squash), 291 nucleotides. RefSeq lists it as uncharacterized. The transcript has 2 exons. The record is from RefSeq and is a predicted model, not a curated record. NCBI's taxonomy places the organism in Eukaryota, Viridiplantae, Streptophyta, Magnoliopsida, Cucurbitales, Cucurbitaceae.
UGAACUCUGCUCUAAUAGCCAAAAAAAAAAAAAAAUCAUAAAUAAUGAAAUAAAUAAAGAAAUAAAGAAAUAAAAAUAAUUAUAAAAAAAAUGAAAAUGGCCUUUAUGGAGUUGAGAUUCAUGGGAGAUUUAAGUGAAGAUAGAAUUGAACAAUAAGCAAAUGAAUAGAUUAAAAAUAAAAUGACCAAGAAAAUUUGUGAACAAAAGGAAACACCAAGAUAAGGAAAGAUUUGGAAAUAGGGAUCCACUAUAAAUUUGGAAUACAUGAGAACAAAAUUAGAAGGCAACAGA